GUGGGGAAUUUUGGACAAUGGGCGCAAGCCUGAUCCAGCAAUGCCGCGUGUGUGAAGAAGGCCUUCGGGUUGUAAAGCACUUUUGUCCGGAAAGAAAUCUCCUGGGUUAAUACCUCGGGGGGAUGACGGUACCGGAAGAAUAAGCACCGGCUAACUACGUGCCAGCAGCCGCGGUAAUACGUAGGGUGCGAGCGUUAAUCGGAAUUACUGGGCGUAAAGCGUGCGCAGGCGGUUUGGUAAGACAGGCGUGAAAUCCCCGGGCUCAACCUGGGAACUGCGCUUGUGACUGCCUCACUAGAGUACGGCAGAGGGGGGUGGAAUUCCACGUGUAGCAGUGAAAUGCGUAGAGAUGUGGAGGAACACCGAUGGCGAAGGCAGCCCCCUGGGCCGAUACUGACGCUCAUGCACGAAAGCGUGGGUAGCAAACAGGAUUAGAAACCCUUGUAGUCC
RNAcentral lists this ribosomal RNA (450 nucleotides) under uncultured bacterium. Its description in RNAcentral is "partial 16S ribosomal RNA". It matches the Rfam family "Bacterial small subunit ribosomal RNA", at positions 354 to 796 of the family's 1533-position model. The record is from RNAcentral.